GUGAGGAAUAUUGGUCAAUGGGCGGGAGCCUGAACCAGCCAAGUCGCGUGAAGGAAGAAGGAUCUAUGGUUCGUAAACUUCUUUUGCAGGGGAAUAAAGUGCAGGACGUGUCCUGUUUUGUAUGUACCCUGAGAAUAAGGAUCGGCUAACUCCGUGCCAGCAGCCGCGGUAAUACGGAGGAUCCGAGCGUUAUCCGGAUUUAUUGGGUUUAAAGGGUGCGUAGGUGGUUUGAUAAGUCAGCGGUGAAAGUUUGCAGCUUAACUGUAAAAAUGCCGUGGAAACUGGCGGACUUGAGUGUAAAUGAGGUAGGCGGAAUGCGUGGUGUAGCGGUGAAAUGCAUAGAUAUCACGCAGAACUCCGAUUGCGAAGGCAGCUUACUAAGCUACAACUGACACUGAAGCACGAAAGCGUGGGGAUCAAACAGGAUUAGAUACCCCAGUAGUCC
RNAcentral lists this ribosomal RNA (445 nucleotides) under uncultured bacterium. RNAcentral describes it as "partial 16S ribosomal RNA". It matches the Rfam family "Bacterial small subunit ribosomal RNA", at positions 354 to 796 of the family's 1533-position model. The record is from RNAcentral.